CUCUCACUUGCCCCGGCGCUGUCGCUAUGGAGCUCAAUGUACUGCAGUGGCUGUCGACCUGGAACUUUCUGAUUUAGGUCCUUUCUCUGUGGAACUACUUCGUGGAAUUAUACUCCACACGAGCCUUACUUUCCUCUAGAUGUACCGGGCUUCCUCGAGCAUCAUCGGGGCCAGAACAGAGAAAGAAGGAAGGAUAAAGGGAAUCCAGCAAAGCGAUUUAAGGACGAUGUUUAAAAAAUGAACUCAAAUAAUGGGUAAAGGUAAAAGUGGGAAGAAAAAAAAAAAAAAAGGAAAGUGUACUGAAAGCAGCAAUACGAAGAAAAUUUAAAGAACAGAAUGAUAGCAACAAAGCCCACAGAAGGCCUUAAAAUACGUAGAAAGGAAAAGGGAGAGAUAGUAUGUCAAAAGGCACAACAGUCUCCCAGAUGCCCUAGCCUUUCCAUUUCCAGCUUCCCAAGAGAACUGAAAACAUGUCUACGCAUACGUUCACAGCCGCAUGAUUCAUAAUAGCACAAACCUGGAAUAACCCAAAUAAUUAUCAGCCAACGAAUGGGUAAACAAAUUGUGGUAUAUCCAUACAAUGGAAUAGUACUCAAUGGUAAGAUCGGGGAAGUACUCACAUACACAACAACACGGAUGAGUCUUGAAAACUGUUACACUCCACGAGAGAAGUUAGCCAUACGUUGUGUUUGUUGUAUCUGGUAUAUAAUGUAUUCAUAUGAAAUGUCCAGAAUAGCCAAAUCCAUCGAGACGGAAUAUAGGUUGGUCAUUUAGAGCUGGGACCGAGCGGUAGUAGGGAUUGACUGUUUAUGGGUAUGGGAUUUCUUUUUGGGGUGAUGAAAAAGUUCUGAAAGUAGACAGUGGUGAUGAUUAUACAACCCUGAAAAUAAUAAAAAAACACUGAAAUUUAUCCUUGAAAAUACCGAUCUUUAUGGUAGGUGAAUUAUAUCUCAAUGAAGCUGCUACUUAAUAAAA
Molecule: long non-coding RNA, 975 nt
Organism: Mustela erminea (ermine)
Lineage: Eukaryota; Metazoa; Chordata; Mammalia; Carnivora; Mustelidae
Exons: 2
Source: RefSeq, a predicted model, not a curated record